GGGUUGUGAGGUUAAGCGACUAAGCGUACACGGUGGAUGCCCUGGCAGUCAGAGGCGAUGAAGGACGUGCUAAUCUGCGAUAAGCGUCGGUAAGGUGAUAUGAACCGUUAUAACCGGCGAUUUCCGAAUGGGGAAACCCAGUGUGAUUCGUCACACUAUCAUUAACUGAAUCCAUAGGUUAAUGAGGCGAACCGGGGGAACUGAAACAUCUAAGUACCCCGAGGAAAAGAAAUCAACCGAGAUUCCCCCAGUAGCGGCGAGCGAACGGGGAGCAGCCCAGAGCCUGAAUCAGUGUGUGUGUUAGUGGAAGCGUCUGGAAAGGCGCGCGAUACAGGGUGACAGCCCCGUACACAAAAAUGCACAUACUGUGAGCUCGAUGAGUAGGGCGGGACACGUGGUAUCCUGUCUGAAUAUGGGGGGACCAUCCUCCAAGGCUAAAUACUCCUGACUGACCGAUAGUGAACCAGUACCGUGAGGGAAAGGCGAAAAGAACCCCGGCGAGGGGAGUGAAAAAGAACCUGAAACCGUGUACGUACAAGCAGUGGGAGCACGCUUAGGCGUGUGACUGCGUACCUUUUGUAUAAUGGGUCAGCGACUUAUAUUCUGUAGCAAGGUUAACCGAAUAGGGGAGCCGAAGGGAAACCGAGUCUUAACUGGGCGUUAAGUUGCAGGGUAUAGACCCGAAACCCGGUGAUCUAGCCAUGGGCAGGUUGAAGGUUGGGUAACACUAACUGGAGGACCGAACCGACUAAUGUUGAAAAAUUAGCGGAUGACUUGUGGCUGGGGGUGAAAGGCCAAUCAAACCGGGAGAUAGCUGGUUCUCCCCGAAAGCUAUUUAGGUAGCGCCUCGUGAAUUCAUCUCCGGGGGUAGAGCACUGUUUCGGCAAGGGGGUCAUCCCGACUUACCAACCCGAUGCAAACUGCGAAUACCGGAGAAUGUUAUCACGGGAGACACACGGCGGGUGCUAACGUCCGUCGUGAAGAGGGAAACAACCCAGACCGCCAGCUAAGGUCCCAAAGUCAUGGUUAAGUGGGAAACGAUGUGGGAAGGCCCAGACAGCCAGGAUGUUGGCUUAGAAGCAGCCAUCAUUUAAAGAAAGCGUAAUAGCUCACUGGUCGAGUCGGCCUGCGCGGAAGAUGUAACGGGGCUAAACCAUGCACCGAAGCUGCGGCAGCGACGCUGAUGCGUUGUUGGGUA
Molecule: ribosomal RNA, 1198 nt
Filed under: Escherichia coli
Lineage: Bacteria; Pseudomonadati; Pseudomonadota; Gammaproteobacteria; Enterobacterales; Enterobacteriaceae
Description: partial 23S ribosomal RNA
Rfam family: Bacterial large subunit ribosomal RNA
Source: RNAcentral